This 468-nucleotide ribosomal RNA is filed under the name uncultured bacterium. Its description in RNAcentral is "partial 16S ribosomal RNA". It matches the Rfam family "Bacterial small subunit ribosomal RNA", at positions 28 to 507 of the family's 1533-position model. The record is from RNAcentral.
GACGAACGCUGGCGGCGUGCUUAACACAUGCAAGUCGAACGGAAAGGCCCGGCUUUUGUGGGGUGCUCGAGUGGCGAACGGGUGAGUAAAACGUGAGUAACCUGCCCUUGACUGUGGGAUAACUUCAGGAAACUGGGGCUAAUACCGGAUAGGAGCUCCUGCUGCAUGUUGGGGGUUGGAAAGUUACGGCGGUUGGGGAUGGACUCGAGGCUUAUCAGCUUGAUGGUGGAGUAGUGGCUUACCAGGGCUUUGAAGGAUAGCCCGCCUGAGAGGGUGACCGGCGACAUGAGUACUGAGGUAGGGACCAGAAUCCUACCUUACGCAACAGUCGGAAAUAUUGCGCAGUGGGCGGAAGGCUGAUACGGAGACCCUGCGAGCGUGAUUCCCGCCUUUGGGGUAUGAACCACUUUGUGAUGUGACGAACCCUGCUUGACGGUAAUUGAUAAAAAAGCACCGGCUAACUACGUG